Molecule: ribosomal RNA, 529 nt
Filed under: uncultured archaeon
Lineage: Archaea
Description: bacterial SSU rRNA
Rfam family: Archaeal small subunit ribosomal RNA
Source: RNAcentral
UUCCGGUUGAUCCCGCCGGAAGUUACUGCUAUCGAGGUUCGACUAAGCCAUGCGAGUCGAAUGCCGCAAGGCAUGGCGUACUGCUCAGUAACACGUGGACAACCUACCCUUAGGACUGGGAUAACCCCGGGAAACUGGGAAUAAUCCCCGAUAGUCCUCGAAGGCUGGAAUGCAUCGAGGGCGAAAGCUCCGGCGCCUAAGGAUGGGUCUGCGGCCUAUCAGGUAGUAGUGGGUGUAGCGUACCUACUAGCCUACGACGGGUACGGGUUGUGAGAGCAAGAGCCCGGAGAUGGAUUCUGAGACACGAAUCCAGGCCCUACGGGGUGCAGCAGGCGCGAAAACUUUACAAUGCUGGCAACAGCGAUAAGGGAACCUCGAGUGCCAGGUUACAAAUCUGGCUGUCGAGAUGCCUAAAAAGCAUUUCAUAGCAAGGGCCGGGCAAGACCGGUGCCAGCCGCCGCGGUAACACCGGCGGCUCGAGUGGUAACCGUUAUUAUUGGGUCUAAAGGGUCUGUAUCCGGCCGGAUAA